GAACAUCCUCCUUUACUCGGAUCGUCCGGCACGUUCCUGCCGGUGAAGGGACCCAACA
Streptomyces albus subsp. albus is the source of this 58-nucleotide non-coding RNA. The record is from Rfam. Lineage: Bacteria; Bacillati; Actinomycetota; Actinomycetes; Kitasatosporales; Streptomycetaceae.